Molecule: long non-coding RNA, 673 nt
Organism: Manacus vitellinus (golden-collared manakin)
Lineage: Eukaryota; Metazoa; Chordata; Aves; Passeriformes; Pipridae
Exons: 3
Source: RefSeq, a predicted model, not a curated record
GCCCCCACUGCCGCCCAGCCCACCCCGGCGCCCGUAGCGAAAAUGGGGGGCUCGGCCCACGCCAAUAUCCGUAGGAUCUCCCCGCGGGGCUUUAUCCUGCUAGAUUUACCAAAAGAGCGACGAACGGUUUAUUUCUCUGUGCAACUCCUUGAAGUGGUUUCCUUCUCCCUCGCCACCCUUAAGCGUACUUAAUAUUGGGACUCGAUUGCCUGUGGGCUUACGACACUGACCAAAAUUCCAUGGAUGGAAAAGCAGGAGAAAAGGAGAAGGAAAAAAAGAAGCAAAGAGUAUCUGUGUUCAACUGAGGAGUGACAAAUAUAUUCUCCUGCCUGUUGCUGGUUCACGUGUUCUGAGAAGAAAUUGAAUGCAUAGACAGAGCACCAGUAUUUUCAGCAUGGAAACCACAAGUCUUGGAAAGAAAGUUUUCCACUGGUUGGUCCUCUCUUCUGCCAAUAUAUGCAUCAUCAUCUUUACUGCUUCUUUAGUGUAUCACAAAUAAGGUGUUUUUUUAGUCAACUUUCCAGGAAAACCAGUUCAGAUAUCCCAUGAAGAUUCUUUUGAUGUUUCCAUUAAAUAAAAUUCACCCUGGAGAAUAUAAGACCAGCAAGAGUUCUUUAAUAUCUAAUUCAUUACGUUAAGUUGGUCAUCUAUAUGGGAAGAAACUAUAUUGCGA